This 494-nucleotide ribosomal RNA is filed under the name uncultured bacterium. RNAcentral's name for it is "partial 16S ribosomal RNA". It matches the Rfam family "Bacterial small subunit ribosomal RNA", at positions 30 to 507 of the family's 1533-position model. The record is from RNAcentral.
AUUGAACGCUGGCGGCAUGCUUUACACAUGCAAGUCGAACGGCAGCGGGGAGGAGCUUGCUUCUCUGCCGGCGAGUGGCGCACGGGUGAGUAAUACAUCGGAACGUGUCGAGAAGAGGGGGAUAACCACCCGAAAGGGUGGCUAAUACCGCAUAAAUUCUGAGGAAGAAAGCUGGGGACCUAGGAAUAGGCCUAGCGCUUUUUGAGCGGCCGAUGUCGGAUUAGCUAGUUGGUGAGGUAAAGGCUCACCAAGGCGAAGAUCUGUAGCGGGUCUGAGAGGAUGAUCCGACACACUGGGACUGAGACACGGCCCAGACUCCUACGGGAGGCAGCAGUGGGGAAUUUUGGACAAUGGGGGCAAGCCUGAUCCAGCAAUGCCGCGUGUAUGAAGAAGGCCUUAGGGUUGUAAAGUACUUUUGUUAGGGAAGAAAAGUCAGCUGUGAAUAAUGGCUGAUACUGACGGUACCUAAAGAAUAAGCACCGGCUAACUACGUG